This 127-nucleotide small RNA is filed under the name Marmota monax (woodchuck). Lineage: Eukaryota; Metazoa; Chordata; Mammalia; Rodentia; Sciuridae. The record is from RNAcentral.
GCCAGGUGUGGUGGUGCAUGCCUGAAAUUCCAAUGGCUCCGGAGGCUGAGGCAGGAGGAUUGCAAGUUCAGAGCCAGCCUCAGCAACUUAGCGGGGCCCUAAGUAACUCAGUGAGACCCUGUCUCUA